RNAcentral lists this long non-coding RNA (1463 nucleotides) under Physcomitrium patens. Its description in RNAcentral is "long non-coding RNA (PPAT_LNC012756)". Lineage: Eukaryota; Viridiplantae; Streptophyta; Bryopsida; Funariales; Funariaceae. The record is from RNAcentral.
UUGCAACUAUUGCACACUUUACUGCUUUACUUAAUUUUCAGCUUAUGUGAGUAUGAUAGCUAAUUGAGAUUUUAAAAAAAAAUCCAUCUAAUAUUAUUUCAAUAACUUUUUUUCUUUUUCUUUUUUAUUCAAUAUUUCUUGCCAUUCAUGAACAAUCCUAUAUGUUGAUAAUAGUUAACUUCAUAAUUUGGUUUCUUCCAAUUUUAGUCAUCCAUUUUCAGUAAGGCUUGUCUGUAUCAAUUGUCUUCUGUGCUUGUCACUCCAAAUUUUGUACAUUGAAAAUAUUGGCAUUCCUUUGAAUCCACAUUGUCUGGAAACAAAAAUUUCUGUGAGGAAGUUGAUGACCAUAUGAACUCAUUUAAGCUUAAGUGAACAAAUUGGCAUAGGUCUUCCCCACAAAUACCUGAGGGGUCAUAAAUGCACAUGAAAGCCAGCACAAUAUCUUCCAUGUUCUACUUCUCUCAGAAAGAAUCAAACUUGCUCUCUGUUGUUCCAAAGCAGCAAAAUCCUUCUUGCCUUCUGAGCCAAUGACAAUGUUCAGGAUAGGAGACAGUCCUGGAGACCUUGGAAAAAUGGGAUAGACUACACCAUGCACGGGGCUCCAAGCAGGGAUAUAGAGAGCUAGGGCAAAACCCACACCUCAAAGUUCAUACUUGGUUGAAAGAAUCUCACCAGAUAUAUCAUUAGAGAACUGUACCCAUUUUGGGUAUAUAAUUACUGAACUGAUUGAUUUCCUGAACCAAUUGAACACACACACACACACACAUUCUUCUAAAAACUGUCUGGAUUACAAAAAUGGUUGACAAAUGCUUCUCAUCCAUGUCUCAGCCAAAAAGAAUUUUGAGUUGUCCUACCAAAUCAUUAGCCAGGCAAAGGCCCCAGAAAAAAGUCAUAACUCUCCAAAUAUGGUGCACAGAUUUCCAAGACAAGAUGAAUAACAUUCACCACCAGAAGCUUCUAUUGUUAAACAGACCACAAACACCCAUGCAUCACCACCCCCACCCUCAUGAAAGAAGAGAAUACAAAGUUCUUUGCUUUUCAAUACAAAAUUCCCCAGAUUCCAAAAUUUAUGUAAGUUGUGCCUCACUCACAGAAAGACCAAUUAUAAUCACAAAAGUCACUUGGAAGGAAAAGUCUUCUCUAUCUUUCACAAGGGCACCCACCCCAUAAAAGGCCUCCUCUCUAAUCCUCACAAUUGAGAGAACCAUAACCGUUUCACUUCAAUGCCGCCAAAGCAGACUUCCCCUAUUUUUUUUUUCUUCUUCUUCUGAAGCAGCUAUUCUCACCAAAAAAAUAAAAUAAAAUAAAAUAAAAAUAACAAGGGUUCACCUCACUUCUAACCUCAAAGUGCUGGUGAGCAUUUUGUUGGUUAUGGUGGGUGCAGAUCAAAACUCAAGCUAGUCCCCUUGUGUUCAAUAUUUGGUUGUGUUGAAUGACAGCCUGAUGGAGAGUUUGCUGCAAGA